AGAGAUCAAAUUAUACAUACUAGGUAAAAAGGCAGUUAAAUAUUAUAAAAUUAUUAAUUUAAUAAUUUUUUUAUAUAUAGGUAAAAUUUACAUAUAAUUAAAUAAUCCCGCAUAAAUUAAUUAUAUUGAUUCUGCGACAUCCAUGAGGGAAACUGGGAUUAGAUACCCCAUUAUUCUUGGUUGUAAAUAAACAUAAGUUUACCAGAGUACUACGAAUAUAUAUACCAAAAAUUUAAAACUCAAAGAGCUUGGCGGUGUUUUAGACCCCUCAGGGGAACCUGUCUCAUAAUCGACAAUCCGCGUUACACCUAACCUUUUUUUGCAUAACAGUUUGUAUACCGUCGUCGUCAGGUAACUUUUUAGAAAAUAGAAGUUGGCAAAAAAAUUCUAUUAAAUUUAAACGUCAGAUCAAGGUGCAGCUUAUAUAAAGGUGAAGAUGGGUUACAAUUAAAAAUUAUAAUUACGAACAAAAUAAUGAAACAUUUAUUUCAAUUGAAGGAGGACUUGAAAGUAAAAUAAAUUUACAUAAAUUUUUUGAAUUAGGCUCUGAAACAUGC
RNAcentral lists this ribosomal RNA (557 nucleotides) under Galeodea bituminata. RNAcentral describes it as "partial 12S ribosomal RNA". Lineage: Eukaryota; Metazoa; Mollusca; Gastropoda; Littorinimorpha; Cassidae. The record is from RNAcentral.